GACGAACGCUGGCGGCGUGCCUAAUACAUGCAAGUCGAACGAACCGCGACUAAGUGCUUGCACUAAGUCAAGGUGAGUGGCGAACGGGUGAGUAACACGUGGGUAACCUACCUCAUAGUGGGGGAUAACAGUCGGAAACGACUGCUAAUACCGCAUAGGACAUAGGAUCACAUGACCCAGUGAGGAAAGGUGGCGCAAGCUAUCGCUAAGAGAUGGACCCGCGGUGCAUUAGCUAGUUGGUAGGGUAAAGGCCUACCAAGGCGAUGAUGCAUAGCCGACCUGAGAGGGUGAUCGGCCACAUUGGGACUGAGACACGGCCCAAACUCCUACGGGAGGCAGCAGUAGGGAAUCUUCCGCAAUGGACGCAAGUCUGACGGAGCAACGCCGCGUGAGUGAAGAAGGUCUUCGGAUCGUAAAGCUCUGUUGUUAGAGAAGAACAGCACAUAGAGUAACUGCUAUGCGUGUGACGGUAUCUAACCAGAAAGCCACGGCUAACUACGUG
Molecule: ribosomal RNA, 502 nt
Filed under: uncultured bacterium
Lineage: Bacteria
Description: partial 16S ribosomal RNA
Rfam family: Bacterial small subunit ribosomal RNA
Source: RNAcentral